UACGUAGGGGGCAAGCGUUAUCCGGAUUUACUGGGUGUAAAGGGAGCGUAGACGGCAGCGCAAGUCCGAAGUGAAAGCCCGGGGCCCAACCCCGGGACUGCAUUGGAAACUGUUGAACUGGAGUACAGGAGAGGUAAGCGGAAUUCCUAGUGUAGCGGUGAAAUGCGUAGAUAUUAGGAGGAACACCAGUGGCGAAGGCGGCUUACUGGACUGUAACUGACGUUGAGGCUCGAAAGCGUGGGGAGCAAAUAGG
This 253-nucleotide ribosomal RNA is filed under the name uncultured Eubacteriales bacterium. RNAcentral's name for it is "uncultured Clostridiales bacterium partial 16S ribosomal RNA". It matches the Rfam family "Bacterial small subunit ribosomal RNA", at positions 524 to 776 of the family's 1533-position model. The record is from RNAcentral. Lineage: Bacteria; Bacillati; Bacillota; Clostridia; Eubacteriales.